Molecule: ribosomal RNA, 480 nt
Filed under: uncultured bacterium
Lineage: Bacteria
Description: partial 16S ribosomal RNA
Rfam family: Bacterial small subunit ribosomal RNA
Source: RNAcentral
GACGAACGCUGGCGGCGUGCUUAACACAUGCAAGUCGAACGAUGAAGAAAAGAAUUGAAGCUUCGGCAGAAAUUCAUUUCGGAUUAGUGGCAGACGGGUGAGUAACGCGUGAGCAACCUACCUCUUACAAAGGGAUAGCCUCGGGAAACCGGGAUUAAUACCAUAUAACAUUGCGACGAAGCAUUUCGAUGCAAUCAAAGCUACGGCGGUAAGAGAUGGGCUCGCGUCCCAUUAACCAGAUGGUGAGGUAACGGCUCACCAUAGUAACGAUGGGUAACCGGCCUGAGGGGGUGAACGGUCACACUGGAACUGAGACACGGUCCAGACUCCUACGGGAGGCAGCAGUGGGGAAUAUUGCACAAUGGAGGGAACUCUGAUGCAGCGACGCCGCGUGAGUGAUGAAGGAAUUCGUUUCGUAAAACUCUGUUCUAUGGGAAGAAAAGGACUGUACCAUAGGAGAAAGCUCCGGCUAAAUACGUG